AGCUUUGUGCAGUGGCAAUAUCGUAGCUAAUGAGGUAUACCCGAGGUGCAAUUAUUGCUAAUUGAAAACUUUUCCCAAUACCCCGCUGUGACGACUUGAAUAUAGUCCGCAUUGGCAAUUUUUGACAGUCUCACGGAGA
RNAcentral lists this small nuclear RNA (139 nucleotides) under Echinops telfairi (small Madagascar hedgehog). Its description in RNAcentral is "U4 spliceosomal RNA (ENSETEG00000022149.1)". It matches the Rfam family "U4 spliceosomal RNA". From Rfam's summary of the family: U4 small nuclear RNA (U4 snRNA) is a component of the major U2-dependent spliceosome. Lineage: Eukaryota; Metazoa; Chordata; Mammalia; Afrosoricida; Tenrecidae. The record is from RNAcentral.